RNAcentral lists this transfer RNA (97 nucleotides) under Longimycelium tulufanense. Its description in RNAcentral is "tRNA-Ala". The record is from RNAcentral. Lineage: Bacteria; Bacillati; Actinomycetota; Actinomycetes; Pseudonocardiales; Pseudonocardiaceae.
CGGCGGGUGUGGCCGGCCGGCCGACGCGGUAGGGCCGCCGGCGUCGGCCUGGGCAUGCUGCUGCUGGCCUGGGGUGUCCUGCGCAACCUGCCGCUGU